RNAcentral lists this ribosomal RNA (468 nucleotides) under uncultured bacterium. Its description in RNAcentral is "partial 16S ribosomal RNA". It matches the Rfam family "Bacterial small subunit ribosomal RNA", at positions 28 to 507 of the family's 1533-position model. The record is from RNAcentral.
GACGAACGCUGGCGGCGUGCCUAACACAUGCAAGUCGAACGGAAAGACCCUGCCUUUGUGGGGUGCUCGAGUGGCGAAAGGGUGAGUAACACGGGAGUAACCUGCCCUUGGCUUUUGGAUAACUUCAGGAAACUGGGGGUAAUACCGGAUAGGAGCUCCUGCUGCAUGGUGGGGGUUGGAAAGUUUCGGCGGUUGGGGAUGGACUCGCGGGUUAUCAGCUUGUUGGUGGGGUAGUGGCUUACCAAGGCUUUGACGGGUAGCCGGCCUGAGGGGGUGACCGGCCACAUUGGGACUGAGAUACGGCCCAGACUCCUACGGGAGGCAGCAGUGGGGAAUAUUGCACAAUGGGCGGAAGCCUGAUGCAGCAACGCCGCGUGCGGGAUGACGGCCUUCGGGUUGUAAACCGCUUUCGCCUGUGACGAAGCGUGAGUGACGGUAAUGGGUAAAGAAGCACCGGCUAACUACGUG